This 244-nucleotide ribosomal RNA is filed under the name uncultured bacterium. RNAcentral's name for it is "partial 16S ribosomal RNA". It matches the Rfam family "Bacterial small subunit ribosomal RNA", at positions 89 to 334 of the family's 1533-position model. The record is from RNAcentral.
UGGCGACCGGCGCACGGGUGCGUAACGCGUAUGCAACCUACCUUUAACAGGGGGAUAACACUGAGAAAUUGGUACUAAUACCCCAUAAUAUCAUAGAAGGCAUCUUUUAUGGUUGAAAAUUCCGAUGGUUAGAGAUGGGCAUGCGUUGUAUUAGCUAGUUGGUGGGGUAACGGCCCACCUAGUCAACGAUGGAUAGGGGUUCUGAGAGGAAGGUCCCCCACAUUGGAACUGAGACACGGUCCAA